UUCUUGUUUUUUCUGUUUUGAGUUUUCAAGUUAUAAUUUUGUUUGGAGUGCAAAAGUUCAAGUGUGGGGGAAUUUUAUCAAUGCAUUUUGAUGCACCUUCUUAUACUAUUGUACUUAGGAAAAUAUAUAGUUUAUUCUAUUAUUUUUAUUAUUUUAGUAUGUUUUUAUAUUUAAUUUUAUUGUUGGCUUUAUUUUAUUUUCAUACUUUAUUUUCAGCAAAAAUAGUUA
Molecule: long non-coding RNA, 228 nt
Filed under: Lathyrus oleraceus (garden pea)
Lineage: Eukaryota; Viridiplantae; Streptophyta; Magnoliopsida; Fabales; Fabaceae
Description: Pisum sativum (pea) long non-coding RNA (PSAT_LNC032849)
Source: RNAcentral